GUGAGGCGUAUCUAACUUACAUUAGUGUUUCAGAUUCUGGGGUUUCUUCUGUUAAAAUAUCAGAAUGGUUAAAGAUUUUCUGGAUGUCUUUUGAUGAGCUACCUGGGUUACCUCCAAACCGUGAAGUUGAGUUUGAGAUUGAGCUCUUGCUUGGUAUAGCUUCGGUGUCCAUCACCCCUUAUAGAAUGGCACUAAAAGAUCUUGUGGAGCUUAUAGCUCAAAUUCAAGAGUUAUUUGAUUGAGGGUUCAUCCGCCCUAGUGUGUCUCUAUG
Molecule: long non-coding RNA, 271 nt
Filed under: Gossypium barbadense (sea-island cotton)
Lineage: Eukaryota; Viridiplantae; Streptophyta; Magnoliopsida; Malvales; Malvaceae
Description: long non-coding RNA (GBAR_LNC003130)
Source: RNAcentral